GAUGAACGCUGGCGGCGUGCCUAAUACAUGCAAGUCGAGCGAACAGACGAGGAGCUUGCUCCUCUGACGUUAGCGGCGGACGGGUGAGUAACACGUGGAUAACCUACCUAUAAGACUGGGAUAACUUCGGGAAACCGGAGCUAAUACCGGAUAAUAUAUUGAACCGCAUGGUUCAAUAGUGAAAGACGGUUUUGCUGUCACUUAUAGAUGGAUCCGCGCCGCAUUAGCUAGUUGGUAAGGUAACGGCUUACCAAGGCAACGAUGCGUAGCCGACCUGAGAGGGUGAUCGGUCACACUGGAACUGAGACACGGUCCAGACUCCUACGAGAGGCAGCAGUAGGGAAUCUUCCGCAAUGGGCGAAAGCCUGACGGAGCAACGCCGCGUGAGUGAUGAAGGUCUUCGGAUCGUAAAACUCUGUUAUUAGGGAAGAACAAAUGUGUAAGUAACUAUGCACGUCUUGACGGUACCUAAUCAGAAAGCCACGGCUAACUACGUG
This 497-nucleotide ribosomal RNA is filed under the name uncultured bacterium. RNAcentral's name for it is "partial 16S ribosomal RNA". It matches the Rfam family "Bacterial small subunit ribosomal RNA", at positions 28 to 507 of the family's 1533-position model. The record is from RNAcentral.